This 1395-nucleotide ribosomal RNA is filed under the name human oral metagenome. RNAcentral's name for it is "bacterial LSU rRNA". It matches the Rfam family "Bacterial large subunit ribosomal RNA", at positions 1094 to 2486 of the family's 2925-position model. The record is from RNAcentral.
CAGGAUGUUGGCUUAGAAGCAGCCAUCAUUUAAAGAAAGCGUAAUAGCUCACUGGUCGAGUCGUCCUGCGCGGAAGAUGUAACGGGGCUCAAAUCUAUAACCGAAGCUGCGGAUGCCAGUUUACUGGCAUGGUAGGGGAGCGUUCUGUAGGCCGAUGAAGGUGCAUUGUAAAGUGUGCUGGAGGUAUCAGAAGUGCGAAUGUUGACAUGAGUAGCGAUAAAGCGGGUGAAAAGCCCGCUCGCCGAAAGCCCAAGGUUUCCUACGCAACGUUCAUCGGCGUAGGGUGAGUCGGCCCCUAAGGCGAGGCAGAAAUGCGUAGUCGAUGGGAAACAGGUUAAUAUUCCUGUACUUGAUUCAAAUGCGAUGUGGGGACGGAGAAGGUUAGGUUAGCAAGCUGUUGGAAUAGCUUGUUUAAGCCGGUAGGUGGAAGACUUAGGCAAAUCCGGGUCUUCUUAACACCGAGAAGUGACGACGAGUGUCUAUGGACAUGAAGUAACCGAUACCACGCUUCCAGGAAAAGCCACUAAGCUUCAGUUUGAAUCGAACCGUACCGCAAACCGACACAGGUGGGCAGGAUGAGAAUUCUAAGGCGCUUGAGAGAACUCGGGAGAAGGAACUCGGCAAAUUGAUACCGUAACUUCGGGAGAAGGUAUGCCCUCUAAGGUUAAGGACUUGCUCCGUAAGCCCUGGAGGGUCGCAGAGAAUAGGUGGCUGCGACUGUUUAUUAAAAACACAGCACUCUGCUAACACGAAAGUGGACGUAUAGGGUGUGACGCCUGCCCGGUGCUGGAAGGUUAAUUGAAGAUGUGCAAGCAUCGGAUCGAAGCCCCAGUAAACGGCGGCCGUAACUAUAACGGUCCUAAGGUAGCGAAAUUCCUUGUCGGGUAAGUUCCGACCCGCACGAAUGGCGUAACGAUGGCCACACUGUCUCCUCCCGAGACUCAGCGAAGUUGAAGUGGUUGUGAAGAUGCAAUCUACCCGCUGCUAGACGGAAAGACCCCGUGAACCUUUACUGUAGCUUUGCAUUGGACUUUGAAGUCACUUGUGUAGGAUAGGUGGGAGGCUUUGAAGCAGAGACGCCAGUCUCUGUGGAGCCGUCCUUGAAAUACCACCCUGGUGUCUUUGAGGUUCUAACCCAGACCCGUAAUCCGGGUCGGGGACCGUGCAUGGUAGGCAGUUUGACUGGGGCGGUCUCCUCCCAAAGAGUAACGGAGGAGUUCGAAGGUUACCUAGGUCCGGUCGGAAAUCGGACUGAUAGUGCAAUGGCAAAAGGUAGCUUAACUGCGAGACCGACAAGUCGAGCAGGUGCGAAAGCAGGACAUAGUGAUCCGGUGGUUCUGUAUGGAAGGGCCAUCGCUCAACGGAUAAAAGGUACUCCGGGGAUAACAGGCUGAU